RNAcentral lists this ribosomal RNA (524 nucleotides) under Nigrospora sphaerica. Its description in RNAcentral is "eukaryotic LSU rRNA". The stretch from base 154 to 307 matches the Rfam family "5.8S ribosomal RNA". The record is from RNAcentral. Lineage: Eukaryota; Fungi; Ascomycota; Sordariomycetes; Amphisphaeriales; Apiosporaceae.
CAUCGAGUAUGCACUCCCAACCCAUGUGACUUAUCUCUUUGUUGCCUCGGCGCAAGCUACCCGGGACCUCGCGCCCCGGGCGGCCCGCCGGCGGACAAACCAAAACUCUUGUUAUCUUAGUUGAUUAUCUGAGUGUCUUAUUUAAUAAGUCAAAACUUUCAACAACGGAUCUCUUGGUUCUGGCAUCGAUGAAGAACGCAGCGAAAUGCGAUAAGUAAUGUGAAUUGCAGAAUUCAGUGAAUCAUCGAAUCUUUGAACGCACAUUGCGCCCAUUAGUAUUCUAGUGGGCAUGCCUGUUCGAGCGUCAUUUCAACCCCUAAGCACAGCUUAUUGUUGGGAACCUACGGCUUCGUAGUUCCUCAAAGACAUUGGCGGAGUGGCAGUGGUCCUCUGAGCGUAGUAAUCUUUUAUCUCGCUUCUGUUAGGUGCUGCCCCCCCGGCCGUAAAACCCCCAAUUUUUUCUGGUUGACCUCGGAUCAGGUAGGAAUACCCGCUGAACUUAAGCAUAUCAAUAAGCGGAGGAA